RNAcentral lists this microRNA precursor (90 nucleotides) under Tribolium castaneum (red flour beetle). Its description in RNAcentral is "microRNA tca-mir-3851h precursor". Lineage: Eukaryota; Metazoa; Arthropoda; Insecta; Coleoptera; Tenebrionidae. The record is from miRBase by way of RNAcentral.
AAUUAAAUUUAAUAUUGAGUGGACAUGGGUGGUACUGUGUAAUUUUUGACUCAUAGUACGGUCCAUGUUGGCUCAGUAAUAAAUUACAUU